Small nuclear RNA from Cercocebus atys (sooty mangabey), 106 nucleotides. Lineage: Eukaryota; Metazoa; Chordata; Mammalia; Primates; Cercopithecidae. The record is from Ensembl.
GUGCUCACUUUGGCAGCACAUACACUAAAACAGGAGGAUCCAAAGAACAUUAGCAUGGCCCCGGCACAAGGAUGAGACACAAAUUCUUGAACCAUUCCAUAUUUAA